UACAGAGGAGCCAAGCGUUGUCCGGAUUGACUGGGCGUAAAGCGCACGCAGGCGGACGCGCGCGUGGGGUGUGAAAUCUGGCCGCUUAACGGCCAGCGGCCAUCCCAUACGGCGGGUCUGGAGCGAUGCAGAGGUCGGUGGAAUUGCCGGUGUAGUGGUGAAAUGCGUAGAUAUCGGGAGGAACACCUGCGAUGUAGAUGGCUUACUGGACCGUAACUGACGCUGAGGCACGAAAGCGUGGGUAGCAAACAGG
RNAcentral lists this ribosomal RNA (253 nucleotides) under uncultured bacterium. RNAcentral's name for it is "partial 16S ribosomal RNA". It matches the Rfam family "Bacterial small subunit ribosomal RNA", at positions 524 to 776 of the family's 1533-position model. The record is from RNAcentral.